UCCAUCCAAGUCUCCCUCGCUCAACAUGCACACAAGCUCAUCAUCUCCCAUGUCCUGCAACCCUAGCAGAAUGGUGUUCCUCCUCAAGCUCUCAAAUGUGAUGAGCCCUUUUUCCACGUCCAUCAGCAAGUGAAACCCAUUGCAGAGCUCUACUAUGAAACCCUCGGCCCCCAACCGCUCGAUCAUGGAUGGGAAGUAGUCCUCAAACUGCACUCCGCCCUCAACUUCCAUUUCUGCAACAAUUUGAGCUCGAGGAACAAGAUUUUGAUAGCUUGGGAGUGCUGGUUUGAGAGG
Molecule: long non-coding RNA, 294 nt
Filed under: Vitis vinifera (wine grape)
Lineage: Eukaryota; Viridiplantae; Streptophyta; Magnoliopsida; Vitales; Vitaceae
Description: long non-coding RNA (VVIN_LNC006436)
Source: RNAcentral